UUUGUUUGUAACCGAAUUUAAAUAAGGAAAUAGAAAAAUAAUUGAAUAUUACAGAAAAGAGCUUUAAAGGCAUUGAAAUAUUACUCAAAUUUUAUGUUGCUGGAUUUACAUUUCAUAACAAUUUUAUUUAUUUAUAUCUUCGUUGGGCAAACUAAAAGCUAUACAAAACUGUUUUAUAUAAGUUUAGAGUCAAGGAUUCCCCUUAAAUAUGAUGAAGCCGAUUAUAAUAUAAGGAGGUUUAUAUGUAAUAUUUAAAAACGAAAUUGAUUUUUAAAAAGCUCGCGAAAAAAUCCCCGAAAAUAUCGCUAAAAGCAUAAAUAAAUAAAAUAUAAAUGAGGAAAAAGAGGCAACCGCAAGCGGAGCAGCUGCUUCAAGGUAAACCGGAGUCAAAGUUCACAAGCAAGAUAUUAUAUUGAAUUAUGUUUCAGGAGGCAUAAUGAAAAAUAAAAUAAAAUCACAAAAAUUAAA
Long non-coding RNA from Drosophila mojavensis, 468 nucleotides. RefSeq lists it as uncharacterized. The transcript is spliced from 2 exons. The record is from RefSeq and is a predicted model, not a curated record. NCBI's taxonomy places the organism in Eukaryota, Metazoa, Arthropoda, Insecta, Diptera, Drosophilidae.